Molecule: transfer RNA, 87 nt
Filed under: Candidatus Doudnaibacteriota bacterium
Lineage: Bacteria; Candidatus Doudnaibacteriota
Description: Candidatus Doudnabacteria bacterium tRNA-Tyr
Rfam family: tRNA
About the family: Transfer RNA (tRNA) molecules are approximately 80 nucleotides in length. Their secondary structure includes four short double-helical elements and three loops (D, anti-codon, and T loops).
Source: RNAcentral
GGGCAGAUACUCAAGCGGUCAACGAGGGGUGACUGUAAAUCACCUGGCCUUCGUCCUACGCAGGUUCGAAUCCUGCUCUGCCCACCA